Molecule: long non-coding RNA, 204 nt
Filed under: Mytilus galloprovincialis (Mediterranean mussel)
Lineage: Eukaryota; Metazoa; Mollusca; Bivalvia; Mytilida; Mytilidae
Source: RNAcentral
AAGGAAGUAAAUUAUCUGACAGUCACUGAGGUCCAAUUAUGAUGUUACGCAACACUUUCACUAAAAUUAAUUUUUGCUCGUUUAAUUUUCAUAAAAUUUUGACAAAGUAUUUACUUUGACUCUUGGACAAAAAUAUAAAAAUUUAAAUAAAUUUGAACCAACCAUUUUAUCAGAAAAUUACACUGGUUAUAUAGCAGUUUGACA